Molecule: ribosomal RNA, 396 nt
Filed under: uncultured Pseudomonas sp.
Lineage: Bacteria; Pseudomonadati; Pseudomonadota; Gammaproteobacteria; Pseudomonadales; Pseudomonadaceae
Description: bacterial SSU rRNA
Rfam family: Bacterial small subunit ribosomal RNA
Source: RNAcentral
UGCAGAGAACUUUCCAGAGAUGGAUUGGUGGCCUUCGGGAACUCUGACACAGGUGCUGCAUGGCUGUUGUCAGCUCGUGUCGUGAGAUGUUGGGUUAAGUCCGUAACGAGCGCAACCCUUGUCCUUAGUUACCAGCACGUUAUGGUGGGCACUCUAAGGAGACUGCCGGUGACAAACCGGAGGAAGGUGGGGAUGACGUCAAGUCAUCAUGGCCCUUACGGCCUGGGCUACACACGUGCUACAAUGGUCGGUACAAAGGGUUGCCAAGCCGCGAGGUGGAGCUAAUCCCAUAAAACCGAUCGUAGUCCGGAUCGCAGUCUGCAACUCGACUGCGUGAAGUCGGAAUCGCUAGUAAUCGUGAAUCAGAAUGUCGCGGUGAAUACGUUCCCGGGCCUU